GCCAAAGUUGAAGCUAUGCUUAUUUAGCAGGCAAAACCAGUAGAAGUCCGAAAUGAAAAGUGAAGGCGAAAACAAAACACAACUCAACUCCUGAGUGUUUUUAGUUCAUAUAAACACAAAACCAAACUCUGAGAGUACACGCCAUACAUCAUAAAAGCAAAUUCAAACUUCAGAAAAUAAGUAGAGUUUUUUUUAUUAUCUUAAGGUUUCAGCACAUGUAAUUCAAGCAUCUCCGUGCCCAAUCAGAGCCAGAAGCAUUUUUUCAUAGUCUCCUGAAGUGUCUCCAGCAAUUGCACGGUCCAAUGUAACACUGUUCCUCCUAUGGUACUCUUCUUUGAUACGCUCCAUGUCAACUUCAGCCCGAGUGGCAACAACUCUAGUAAGAUCCCAUUCGUCUGUACCCAGCUUCUUGAUAGCCAAUCGAAGAACUUUCUCAAAGUGUUUCUCUGGGGUUUUCAAGCAUUCUAUUGCUGCUCUGAGUAGUUUCAGGUACUCAUCGUCAUCAUCAGCUUCCAGAUCCUUGAUGAUUUCAUGGCCAUGGUGAUCAUUGUAGUGGUUGAACGUAGCACUCAGCUGUGCUUUACUCCUAGUAGAAAUGAUUCGGAUGAUCUCCUCGUCAUUGUAAGCCUUGUCAGAGAUCUUCUCAUGCAGUAUAUUUGCUUCCUUUCUUGCUAAUGUCAUGUUCACCUCAUCUCCUUCAUAUCUGAAUGCAGUUAUAAGAGGAACCAAAAGCUUACGGAAAUCCCCACUUGUAUGAUAAGCAACAUCUUCUUCAAGUGAUUUCUUGUAUCGAGCAUGGUAGGCCUGCCUCGCCUUAAAAAGAUCAUCAGAAGACCUGGUACAAGCAAUUUCCAUGAUAACCCAAUUGCUAGCAGUCAGACGUUUGGUAGCCUCAUUAACCAAGUAGGCGUCGCGCUCAGCAGGACUCAAAGUCCAGAGAAGCACCACACGCUGAAAAUCACUUGUCAGUUCAGAAUCCAAGUCCUUGAGAAGAUCCUCUCCAUAAGCAGCAGCAUAAGAAUCUCGGAUUAACUUGCGUUGUGCUGCAUUCCUAUGAGCCAGAAUCUGAAUAAUAAGUUCCUCAUUUGUGCCCCAUCCUUUAAAAGCUUUUUUGAGUUGCUCAGCAUCUUCAUAAGGAUCUGGAACUGAUGCUGGAACUUUAAGACUAGACAUUUUUUUUUCCCUUUCUUGAGAAUGUGCUGUGUGUUCUUGAAUUAUUUAUGAGUCAAAACUAUAGUAUAUGUACAAUCUCAAGAAUAUACAUGGGAACAUAAAAAGUGGAUUCGACAUUUU
RNAcentral lists this unclassified non-coding RNA (1293 nucleotides) under Hevea brasiliensis (rubber tree). The record is from RNAcentral. Lineage: Eukaryota; Viridiplantae; Streptophyta; Magnoliopsida; Malpighiales; Euphorbiaceae.